Molecule: long non-coding RNA, 530 nt
Organism: Leptidea sinapis
Lineage: Eukaryota; Metazoa; Arthropoda; Insecta; Lepidoptera; Pieridae
Exons: 2
Source: RefSeq, a predicted model, not a curated record
UAAUUAAUAUUAUAAUUGGAAGGAAAUUGAUAGAAUCGAGGAAAUUGUUUGAAAAUAAGAAUAAAAAAAUAAACACAAAACAGUAUAAAAGUCAAAGUAUCAAAAUCUACAAGCAUUAUAUUUCUUAACUUGAGUUAAUCGUCGCAAAAUACAAAAUGAUUAAAUAUUUUUUUAUCGCAUUACUUAUGACAAUGUUUGUGAAAAAUAGUUUACAAGAUGGAUGGGAAAAGUCAAAAGAUGCGAAUGAUAUGAGCCAAGAUUUAGAAGCAGAAUCAUCACGUGAUGAUAUUCAACGAUCAAUCGACGAAGAAGAUGAAGUUCCAGAACCGGCUGAUGAUGAUAAUGGUGAUUUUAGUUCAAUUAAAAAACAAUGGAAACGUAUGAAAAGAUCUCCACGUGAUUAUCCACGAUCCAACUAAUCAAGUCAAAAGAGAGACGACAUAGAAUGGGAACAGCAUUAAUGUAAUUUUGUUUAUUUCUCGCCGCAAUAUUAUAAAGAUUCAUUAAAAUAAAGCUUUUGAACAUUUGAA